RNAcentral lists this transfer-messenger RNA (361 nucleotides) under Aerococcus kribbianus. It matches the Rfam family "transfer-messenger RNA". Rfam says of the family: Bacterial tmRNA, also known as 10Sa RNA or SsrA, is named for its dual tRNA and mRNA-like properties. Its role is to liberate the mRNA from a stalled ribosome. Lineage: Bacteria; Bacillati; Bacillota; Bacilli; Lactobacillales; Aerococcaceae. The record is from RNAcentral.
GGGGGUGUUAUUGGAUUCGACAGGCAUGCCCCGAAGUUCAACUACAUUUCGAAGAGACAGCUUCGUAAAAAUGUCACAGUAAAUCUAACUGACAAACAAGAUAACCAAACUUUAGCUUUCGCUGCCUAAAAACAGUGAGCUAAGAUCCGCCUAGCAUCGCCCAUGUGUUAGUUCCGGGUCCUAUUGCAGUGGGAUACGUCUGAAGCUUCCGCCUGGAGCAACAGAAAGAGAUUAAUCAGGCAAGCAAUCUAGACGGGUUUGUUUAUUCGCCCCUAGUGCGCUAAUAAGCAAUAAACUAUGAGUGUAAAAGUUGGACAUUCGGAAUGUCUGGACAGGGGUUCAAAUCCCCUCACCUCCAUAA